Molecule: long non-coding RNA, 541 nt
Organism: Manduca sexta (tobacco hornworm)
Lineage: Eukaryota; Metazoa; Arthropoda; Insecta; Lepidoptera; Sphingidae
Exons: 2
Source: RefSeq, a predicted model, not a curated record
UGUCACUGCCUAAAGUAUCAAAAUUCUCUUUCAUAUUUUUUUAUUCUCUUUCAUUCUGUUUAAUAUUUAUGUCAAUCAAAAUCAACCAAAACCAAUAAUGAAAAGUUUGCAAAAACAUUAAUUUAAUAAUAUGAUUAAAUAUGGCCAAUAAGUUUAAAGCAGUUUUGAAUAAUGCCUGUGGGAACAGACAAUAAUAUCGGUUACAUUCAAGAAGCAUCCAGAAUGCUUCAAUCAAUCAGGUUGUAAGGAUGUAGAGAACAACAAGUAUGAACCUAUGCAACCCAGACGACUAAAUGCUCAAACUAAGGCUGAGAAGACCGAAGUUGUACCGUUUGAAAAGAGCCAUAUACCAGAAGACUGGAGGGCGGCGUUCUAUCUACUUGUGCGAUCUGUACGAUUUGCAGCUGAAACACUUGGUGGUCUGUACCGGGCUGCUGUUCAUCCUAAUGCUGUGUUUGAGGAGUUUGUACAACAAAAUUAACUCGCACAACAGCUGCUCGUCUAUGCAAAUGUAUUGAGGAAAUAAAUCUUGGCUGAAUGA